This is a long non-coding RNA of Cornus florida, 5721 nucleotides long. RefSeq lists it as uncharacterized. The transcript is spliced from 2 exons. NCBI's taxonomy places the organism in Eukaryota, Viridiplantae, Streptophyta, Magnoliopsida, Cornales, Cornaceae. The record is from RefSeq and is a predicted model, not a curated record.
UUGAUCGAAUGAUCAACCGAUUGAAUUUGUUUCAGGUAGUAUUUAGUUCAAACUCAGAAUGUAUCGAUUGCAUGGUGGAUAGGUUCUUUUAGACUAAUUGUAGUUUUCAAUCAAUUGAACUUGUUGGACCUACGUAAUUGCCUGUAUUAUAGUACUGACAUGUUUUUAUGUAUGAUCUCAAUGAAGGCCACUAGGGUUCGGGAAAUGCCAUAGUACAGUUGUGACCUUGUGGUAGGCAGCAUUCGAUUUGUCCUGGUUUUUUUGCUUAUUUACAUUUUGAAAGUUGUAGCUUUAUAUUUGAUAUUAUUUCACCAUCUUCCCUUUUUUUUUUUUUUACUGCUGUGUUUAGUUUUUAAUCUUCAUCUCUAUUUCUCUUUUCUAUCAUUUGUUCUGAAAAUUCAUGGAGCUUUCUUACUUGAAAUAUUAGGUGAGGAUUAGAAUUCCUUUACAAUUCAUUUAUAAAUGGGUUAUUCUAUUUAUACUGAUAUAGUGGAGGAGCGCAUUAAAUCCUUGUUUGUCUAUUAAUACUCAGUUCUAGUCUUCAGCGCAGGGCAGAGCAGUUUGGUAGCUCGCAAGGCUUGUAACCUUGAGGUCAUGGGUUCAAAUCCCGUCUCUGCAGUAGUAUUUUAUUUUUAAUUUUUUGUUUCAGCUUUUGUUAAUGAGUUUUUGUUGUUUGCUGGUUUCAUGGCUGGACUCCUAUGUAGAGAAGGUAUUGGCAUUUUAGGUUUUGUUGUUUCCAGUUUUUGUGACUGGUGGAAAAUAUGUACAGAAUCUCUAGUAGCUAGACUGAUAUUUUGGUUGGCUUCUAAAAAAUUAAUAUUUUGUUCUCCGCAGCUAUAUCUUGCGAAGUGUAGAAUGGUCCUUGAUAGGUCUGCAGUUUUGUUUCUUGUAGGUUUUGCCAGUUGUUCACAUUACAUGAUCUGAACACUUGUAAGAGAAACAGUGGGAUCAUUCUUAAAACUCUUUAAGAGUGCCUGUUGUCCAGCUGGACAUGAACCCUUGAAUUUUUAUUUUUAUUUUUAUUUAUUUAUUAUUUAUUCUUAUUUUUUUUCCUUGGAAGUAAUUACGUUCUUAUCUUUAAUUUCUGAGAAACAAAUUUUAUGGAUUUUCUGCUUUGUAGAUUUUCAUGCGAAGGCUUUGCUGUGGUACAGAACUUAUGAAUGGUUGAGCUUUCAAGGGCUUCUUGCUAAGGCUCUCCUCUGCUCUGUGCUUUCUUUCUUUCCUUUCUUUUUCUUUUUUGUUUUUUCCCCUCAAUUCUUCACUUACACGUCUCUUUCAUGAGGGUAUCCUGUGUUUUGUAUUAUCUUCCUUAUCAAUGAUUUUUAUAUUUGUUGCUAUCAAAUUUAGUUGAACUUGAUUUUGUAUAAUAACAGUGGGUGGAUUUUAUGUAGGAUCUUAAUAAAGACUAAAGUAAAUGUCAAAGUGUAGUCGGGUCCUUGUGGCAGGCUGCAUUUGAUUGGUCUUGGUAAGUGCUUAUUUACAUUUUGAAAGUUGUGUAACAGUAUCUUUGGUAUUAUCUCCCCUUCUACUAAAUUUUUACUGCUCUGUUUAAAUCUUUCUUCAUCUCUCUCACCUUUUCUGCCUUUUGUUCUGAAAAUUGAUGGAUCCAUCUUAUUACUUGAAAUAUUAGGUGAGGAUCGGAACCCUUUUACUGUGUUCUCUAUAAAUGGGCUAUUCUAUUUGUACAGAAUCUACAGAUAUAGUGGAGGGGCGCAUUAAAUCCUUGUUUGCAUCUUAGUUCUCACUUUUCUUCAGUGUAGGGCAGAGAGCAGUUUGGUAGCUUGCAAGGCUCAUUACCUUGAGGUCACGGUUUCAAAUCCCGUCUCUGUAACAUUCUUUUAUGCUUGGUUUUUGUUUUGUAGCAUGUGUGAAUGAGUUCCUUUUGCUGGUUGGUCGUUACUUUUUUGCUUGUUUGCAAUCUAUUACUUGAAGAUGGAAUUGGUGAAAGUUAAAAGAGCCUUUUUCGUGGCUGGACUUCUUCUGUUAUUGGACUGUAUCCUGCCAUUAUUUGAAAGCAGAAGAGAUAAUCUAAUUCUUUGUUUUUGUUUUUUGUUCUAUUUUCUUUGUUUUUGCUUUAACUCUCUCUUUGGUGUUUACCGACACUUGUUGUUUUGCUUGUUUGUAGUCGAUUUGCUUGGACCUGACCUUAAGGUGGAUUUCGAGCAUGGUCUUUUGGAAUAGCUAAGAGAAUCUCUACCUGGUUAGAUUGCAGGAAAUGAUCAAUCUUUUACUCUCUAAUUUUUAUAAGCCUGAUGUGAAUGAGAUCUUUUACUCUUUAAUUUUUACAAGUCUGAUGUGAAUGAUAUAUAGCUACUGCUGUUAUAGCACUUUUGCUUGUAAUUUUCUGUUAGGAUAUAUAGCUGUUGUUGGUACUUUCUUUUCUGUCUUUCUGCUUCUGUUAGAUUGUUACGAUACAGGAUGUAGGAACACAUAGGUGAGGUUUCUAAUUUUUCUCCUUUGCGGCUGCUUACAAGCUAUUUGUUCUUUCCUUUCCACCUUGUUUCCAAACAAAAUUGUUCAGUGUUGGUGGAUGCACUCUAAACCUUGGUAUCUUAUGUUUUGUAUUAUCUUCCUUACCGAUGAUUUUCUUAUUUGUUACUAAUGAAUUUUGGUGAACUUGAUUCUGGAUAGGCAUAUGGUCAUUACAUUUGGAGAGCAAAACCUCCUUUUUGUUUCUGUGGUUUAUUGCUUGUGGACUUGUUGUUUGUGCAUUGCCUUGUAUUAUUUACCAUCACAACUAACUGCAUACUUUUGUAAGGGAGCAUAUCUUCCCCCCAACAAAAAAAAUAAAAAUAAUAAUAAUAAUAAGGAUGCAUUUCCUAUUCAGACUGAACUUGACUCUUGGACAAUCGACUUCCAUUCUGGAUUUUGUCAUCAAUGUAAUUACGCCAUCUCAGCUGAUGAGUUUUCUGAGCGAGCGUGCGUGCGUGUGUGUGUGUAUAUAUAUAUAUUUGUUUUUGUUCUUGUUAUCUUUCUAGUGUUUGGUGGCAGCAAUUAUCUGUUUGCGGUUAUUUUUUUCCCUUUUGUGGACUGCGCCUAGCACUUUUCUUCGUGAUUUGCCGUCAUUAAACGCAUUCACCAACUAAUAUCAGCACCAACGGAUGCACUUCUACAUAGUUACAACACAGCAUUUUGUUUUACUUUGUUGGAUAUUUCUUUAUGCCCAAAUUUUUAGAUUCCAUUUUUUUUCUUCCUGUUUUACACUCUAGGAGAACCGAACAUUUCAAAAUUGGAUGGACAUAAGUACUCAAUUCUGCUUUGCCGUGUCUCAAUGUGUUUUUUUUCUUGGUAGGGAUUUUAUGCAUUAUCUUCGAGAUUUAAUGAACUUCUAAUCAUCAUAUAUGUGCAUUUCCUUCAAAUGAUUGUCUUAAUCUAUUUUGUAAGACACAUAUUGUUGAUAUCUUAUUUUGAGAUAUGAUGUUUUGUCAUUGACCGGGAUGACGUCUUACAUUUUUGCAUAUUCAAUCUUAUACUUGGAUAAUUGUAAGCAUCUUUUUUAAUUAGAUUCUUAGUCAGAGGUUACUUGCAUUGCUUUGAAUUCCAUGAGUAGGUUGGAACGUCUUGGUUAAUCCAAAUUUUCUGUAUGAACAACUUAUUUUAUUAAGGUUUUAACUGAGUUGAAUGUGUAUCUUUAUAUUUCUGUUUCUUUUGUGGCAUUAUGAGUGACCGUCACAAUUUGUACUGAGGUUAGACAUUAGUGCUGAACUGAAAUUUCUUGAGCACCUGAUGCAACGUAGAUUGAACUGCAAAUACACAUCUCUUUUUAAUACCGAUUCUUGGUGAUAUGGUUCUUUGUUCUUUACUCGUUGCAGUGAACGUAUGGGAGGAUAUACUGUAAUUCACUGAUUGAGCACCCGCAUCUGGAACAACGAACCGUUAUUUAUCUAUGAUGUCUAUCGUGCGAACCCGUGAUACAAUUGUUCUAGUUUAUAUGUGCAUUCUGUUUAUUUGUUUAUGUUAGUUUUUAUGUGCGAUAUAUUUAUUUGUGUUUUUUUAUAUGGAUUUUGGAGAGUACGAGGAGAGCAUUCUAUCUUGUUUCCGCCGCCUUUUCCAUUGGCUAAUGUGUAAUGCAAUUAGCAGUAACACUUACUAUGUUGCUGAGAUUGUAUUUAGAAUUAAAAGAAAAUGGGUAUAUAAAUACUAGUUUUGUUCAUUGCCCUCUCUUUGUUUCUGUGCAAUCUUGGUAUUUUUGUCUGCUUGUUGGGUUACCUUGUAGGGAUCAUACGAAAUUUCUUGACAGUUGGAUAAUGCUAGAUUCCGUCUAGCGAUGCAUCAGUUCAGGCUGUUAACUUUCUACUCCUUUUCUGUGCACACACUAAUAAUCUAUUGGGAAAGUAUUGCUUGUAUUGUUCGGGGUGAAUUGCUUGUUGGAUGAGACGAUUGGUGAUUAUGGUUCCAGAAGAUAGUGUUUCCAAUUUGUAUUAUAGAAGAUGUGUUGAUAAGUAGUUAAGAGUUAAGACCAAAGAACCAUCGCUAUUUAUAGGAUUAUAUCCCAUGUCUCCUAUUUGGCUUUCAAUUUGCAUUUGUCUAUGGACACCAUCUUUUACCUGAAAUUUGUCUUUUCUUGUUAACGUACCUUUUGAAGUGAUGUAGAGUCUCCUGCUCUCUCAGUUAAAGUGAAUGACAGUGUGCUGAUGGAUGUCAGGGUUCUGCACACCACGUCUUCUGUUUAUAUAUUAUACUAGUAUUAAGUAAGCAAAAUUACAGUAAUGUCCUUAACAAGCAAAAAUGAACUCUUAACAACUAACACUCUCUUGUUUUUCCCUUUUGGUGUUUGAGUAAGACUGAAAAUUCACUUUUGUGUAAAUGAAAUUAUUGGUACCGUUUUUAGUGAUUCUAUCUCGUUCACAUGUUUUUUUUCUUCUUUCUUGUUACUUACCUUUUAAGUGUUUGCAGAGUCUUCUGCUAUCCCCUUGUUCCUUUUGGUGGUCGUGUUAAAUUGAAAACUCAUCAUUGUCUAAAUGAGGUUAUUGGUACCAUUUUUAAUGAUACUCUCUUCACUAUUGAAUCGAAAGAUGAAAUGAGGAUGUUGUCAUGCCUUCAUGUGAGGCUGCUGAUUUUACUUGCGUUUUCUUGUUGCUAGUUCUCAUUUAUUCUUUUCAUGCAAGGUUUCUUUCAAAUCUUUACUCUUGUCAUUUCAUCCAUUACAAGGAAAUUGACAUAUUAAAGGCAAGGUUCCGUUGCAUGAAUGCUGCUUGAUCCUCACUUACUAUGAUUGAGGUUCUUAUAACAUAUGGAUAUGUACACACUCACACUCUUGGGGAAUGUGCGUCGGCAGCCUGUUUAGAGAGUUCUCUGCUUUCUCGUUGCAACAUGUUGAAGCUAUAUUUAGCAGCAUGUGCUUGGGGACUUGAUUGCAGUUAUUUAACCUGUUCUAGUAAAUUCCGCUUCUGUAUCCUGAUGCCUGGAUGGAUUCUUGUUUCUUAGGGACCUCAUGGUAUAUUUCAAGAUCUAAGUGAUUGAAUGUAUAUGGUGCUGUUAUGACACACACGUGAGUGUGUCCUGCUGUCAAGAGUGAGGUUAGAUUAUUAUUGUGGAAUUAGAAAUUUGAAUUUGUUGUAUCUAUCUAAUAAAAAUUUGUAGGAACGGUAGUGUUGUGGUAUUUUCUUUGUGAAGGGGUCUGCUGCUUGAUUCCCCAUCUCCGUUUUCUCCUCCCUUAAUGUUGUAGAAAACGUCCAUUCCAUUGUUUUUUUGGUAAUACGUCCUUCCUUUUCCCAGAUA